RNAcentral lists this ribosomal RNA (483 nucleotides) under Boana punctata (polka-dot treefrog). Its description in RNAcentral is "partial large subunit ribosomal RNA". It matches the Rfam family "Bacterial large subunit ribosomal RNA", at positions 1949 to 2596 of the family's 2925-position model. The record is from RNAcentral. Lineage: Eukaryota; Metazoa; Chordata; Amphibia; Anura; Hylidae.
UGCGAAGGUAGCGUAAUCACUUGUUCUUUAAAUGAGGACUAGUAUGAACGGCACCACGAAGGUUAUACUGUCUCCUUUCUCCAAUCAGUAAAACUAAUCUCCCCGUGAAGAAGCGAGGAUAAAUUUAUAAGACGAGAAGACCCUAUGGAGCUUUAAACUAACCAGCAUUUGCUAUAUACAAAUUUUAACUUUAGACAAUCUAGCCCUCUGACUGGUAAUUUUCGAUUGGGGUGAUCACGGAACAAAAAAUAACCUCCGUGUCGAAAGGAUAAACCUGAGCAAAAAGCGACAGCUUUCCGCACUAAAAAAUUAACGUUCAUUGACCCAAUAUUUUGAUCAACGAACCAAGUUACCCUAGGGAUAACAGCGCAAUCUACUUCAAGAGUCCCUAUCGACAAGUAGGUUUACGACCUCGAUGUUGGAUCAGGGUACCCCAGUGGUGCAGCCGCUACUAAAGGUUCGUUUGUUCAACGAUUAAUACCC